This 299-nucleotide unclassified non-coding RNA is filed under the name Hevea brasiliensis (rubber tree). Lineage: Eukaryota; Viridiplantae; Streptophyta; Magnoliopsida; Malpighiales; Euphorbiaceae. The record is from RNAcentral.
AGAAGGUUGUAAGAAGUGCCCCUGCACGACCCAUCGUCAAGCCCCUAAAGAGCUCCACAAAAUCUAAGCUGAAAUGAGUUGAAUGCCUUGAAUCAAAAAGAUUUUUGUUUUUCUAAUGCCAUGAAACUUAACAUGGUUGAGAUGAAAGCAUGCUGUUCUGCCAAAAUCAAUUUUGAACACAAACUACUUGUGAUAUUAAGUGGACGUCAACAAUACGUUUAUUAGGGAACUGAGGAAUCUAAGAAGGCUUGUCUGCAUUUCCUUAAUAUCAGAUAUUGUAUUCUUCUGUUUAAAAAAAA